GGUGCUGCAUGGCUGUCGUCAGCUCUGCCGUGAGGUGUUGGGUUAAGUCCCGCAACGAGCGCAACCCCUAUCUUUAGUUGCCAUCAGUUCGGCUGGGCACUCUAUGGAGACUGCCACCUAAAGUGGAGGAAGGUGGGGAUGACGUCAAGUCAGCAUGGCCCUUACGUCCGGGGCUACACACGUGCUACAAUGGCCGGUACAAAGGGUUGCGAAGCCGUGAGGUGGAGCGAAUCUACAAAAAGCCGGCCUCAGUUCGGAUUGGAGGCUGCAACUCGCCUCCAUGAAGUCGGAAUCGCUAAGUAACCGCAGAUCAGCUACGUUGCGGUGAAUACGUUCCCGGGCCUU
This 345-nucleotide ribosomal RNA is filed under the name uncultured bacterium. RNAcentral's name for it is "bacterial SSU rRNA". It matches the Rfam family "Bacterial small subunit ribosomal RNA", at positions 1037 to 1382 of the family's 1533-position model. The record is from RNAcentral.